Molecule: ribosomal RNA, 445 nt
Filed under: uncultured bacterium
Lineage: Bacteria
Description: partial 16S ribosomal RNA
Rfam family: Bacterial small subunit ribosomal RNA
Source: RNAcentral
GUGAGGAAUAUUGCGCAAUGGAGGCAACUCUGACGCAGCCAUGCCGCGUGCAGGAAGAAGGCGCUACGCGUUGUAAACUGCUUUUAACCGGGAAGAAACCCCAGGACGUGUCCUGGGUUGACGGUACCGGAGGAAUAAGCACCGGCUAACUUCGUGCCAGCAGCCGCGGUAAUACGAAGGGUGCAAGCGUUAUCCGGAUUCAUUGGGUGUAAAGGGUGCGUAGGCGGAGCGUUAAGUCAGUGGUGAAAUCCUGCAGCUUAACUGUAGACUUGCCAUUGAUACUGUCGCUCUUGAGUGCGCUUGAAGUGGGCGGAAUGUGCCGUGUAGCGGUGAAAUGCUUAGAUAUGGCACAGAACACCAAUUACGAAGGCAGCUCACUAAGGCGAUACUGACGCUGAGGCACGAAAGCGUGGGGAUCGAACAGGAUUAGAAACCCGGGUAGUCC